This is a long non-coding RNA of Gopherus evgoodei (Goodes thornscrub tortoise), 134 nucleotides long. RefSeq lists it as uncharacterized. The record is from RefSeq and is a predicted model, not a curated record. NCBI's taxonomy places the organism in Eukaryota, Metazoa, Chordata, Testudines, Testudinidae. The transcript is spliced from 3 exons.
AUCAGAACCUCUCCAUAGACCCGUUACAUGACAAUCUUUCUACAAUAUUGGCUGCAAAUAUAGAACAGUGGUAGCAAUGGUGAUCUAUACAGUUAUAGAUUAUGUCAAUAGCGUCACAGGAAGUGCCACAGCAG